UGGGGAAUAUUGGACAAUGGGGGCAACCCUGAUCCAGCAAUGCCGCGUGUGUGAAGAAGGUCUUCGGAUUGUAAAGCACUUUCGACGGGGACGAUGAUGACGGUACCCGUAGAAGAAGCCCCGGCUAACUUCGUGCCAGCAGCCGCGGUAAUACGAAGGGGGCUAGCGUUGCUCGGAAUGACUGGGCGUAAAGGGCUGUAGGCGGUUUACACAGUCAGAUGUGAAAUCCCCGGGCUUAACCUGGGAGCUGCAUUUGAUACGUGUAGACUAGAGUGUGAGAGAGGGGU
RNAcentral lists this ribosomal RNA (287 nucleotides) under uncultured bacterium. RNAcentral describes it as "partial 16S ribosomal RNA". It matches the Rfam family "Bacterial small subunit ribosomal RNA", at positions 355 to 660 of the family's 1533-position model. The record is from RNAcentral.